Molecule: unclassified non-coding RNA, 5279 nt
Filed under: Hermetia illucens (black soldier fly)
Lineage: Eukaryota; Metazoa; Arthropoda; Insecta; Diptera; Stratiomyidae
Description: uncharacterized LOC119649570, transcript variant X3
Source: RNAcentral
GUCAGUUAAGCGUUUCGUUUAAUUUUUUUUAGCAAAAGCAAUUGGGUUGUAUUUAUUUUGUUAACGUUUUGAGUGAGUUUAUUAAUUAACUAUCGUGUCUAGAUAAAAUUCUGCGUGAAAAAAAAAAUUAUGAAGCGAAUUUCUACUUCUCCCACUGCUGAAGGUGAAAGUAGGCCAGAAAUCGUUCCGUUGUCGAGGGCGUACCGGACUCUUUCCCCCAGAGCACAAAUUUUAAGCGGCUCUUAUAGUCAGGGAAAUAAAAUUUUCGGGCUACAGUCAAGAAAUAAACAGAGUCCUGCAACCUGCAUUGUAGCUGCCGUAUAUAGCAAAGUAAUACCCUCUUCAUCUUGGAUAAAAAAGGAUAUUCAUCGAAUCCUCGAACUAGGUGACAAGUUAUACAGAACCUCAGUCACCCACAUCCCUCUAAAGUCUUGGCAAGUACUUAAACCUCAUUGUGUGCACCCCACCUUUUAUAUUGGCCAAAACAAAAUCACCGUUUUUGUUGGAAACGAUGUUAUUACUGGAGUCCAUACACCAGACAACCCCGUGCUGCCAGAAUUGCUUGCCUCGGAAGCUUCCCAUUUAAAUGAAAAACAUGACGCAUUAAUUUUCAAUAUACAUGAUAAGAAUUUCGCGAUUUGGAAAGAACAAAGUAAAGCAUAUUUGUUCUGUCCACAUGAUGCCGAUGAUGAUGGACUGCCUGCAAAAGUGGGUACGGGGAAAAGCUUUGUCAUGCGGGCUGAUGCCAUCGAAAAUUUCGCCGAACAUUUAAGCUCCUUCAUAAAUGGACAGUUUUCGCUUUACUCUUUGAAAAUUCUAAAGCUUAUUGAACUCAAAAACACAAUGUCCGGCUUGAUUGCUCAGAUCCAAGAAAGUGAGGCUUUACCUGAUACUGAACCAGAAGAAAAAAAAUCAAGCACCGAAGUCGUUGAGGCAGAAAGUCAUCUGCCUCCCGGAUACACCAAAGAUUUAUUGGAAACGGAAAGGCAAUUCGAUUUGAAGGUUACCAGUAACUUUAAACCCAUAGAUGACACCCAAGGAAGUUUGCUGCAUAAUGCGUACGAGCACGAUGCCGACCUGAUUGUUUGCGAUACUUUGGCAGCACUGGUGAUGCUUCAUAGGAAGCAUUCAAGCACGUGGAAUGUUCAAACGAUAGCAGAAAUAUUGUCCCUAGGCAAAGACAUUUCUGACCAUGAUUUCGAUAUAGAGACCCAUAUUGCAGGCUACAUGGAAGUUAUCGCUUAUGAAAAGACCUACAGGAUUGAGUUUGAGAAGGUGGUUUACGGCCAAGUGACAUCCCAAGAUGAAAAUGUGCCUACGGUGUUGACAGGUGUCGAAAUGUUUUUCAAAAAUUACGACGUAGGACUUAUUUUUGGUCCACAAAACAUAGCCAUAUGGAAGGAAAAGGGAAUGUACUUUGCUUUCGAUCCAAAAGAAAGGGACGCCUUGGGGCGUAAGUGGACAAAAAUGCUUUCCAAACAGCUCGGUCCCCCCAAAAAAGGUGGCGGAGCUUGCGUUGUCUGGUACAAAAAUCCUAGACAACUAGCAGAACGAUAUAUCUCGAAUGUCCCAGUCAAGCACCGCAAUGAUGCUUUCCGGAUAAUUAAUAUUCACAUCCUUGAAUCACCACAAGGAGAUGACUGGGAAGAAUGGACUUUCGUCAAGCCUGGAGAAUGGAUCCUCCAAGGUGACGAUGCACUUUGCAAAUAUCUAACGCCAGAGGAAGUGGAUAAGAAGGCAAAAUCACUGGCAGUCGCGUGUUAUAUUUUAGCAUUCACAACACAAAAGCCAGAGGACGAAUGGUCUAGUGAAACCCUGACGAAUCUUCUAAAGGACGGAAUAGAAUAUUAUAAAACUUUAGUACAAGACGCUCAGCCCCAUCUAGCAAAUUCGCCAAACUCGAUGACUGAAUUGCAAGAACCCAAACGUUUAGAAUCACUAGCCGAGUUCAAGAAAAACGUUACCAUCGACGGGAAUAAAAUUCUACUGAAAAUCGAUGAGUGCGUCAUAUCGAACAAGGAUGUUCUGAAUGUCAAAGGCAGUUCAAUGUUAAAAGCAGGACUAGAAGUGUUCUUCAAAAGCUAUCGAUCUGGCAUUAUCACAUGUGGGGAAUCUAUUCUCACCACAUGGACUGACGGGGAAGCCUACUAUGUGCUGGACUUCGCGGAAAAAAUGAACAUCGAGCAGACCCUCACGAAAACAAGCAAUAACCAAGGAAAAAUAACUGCCGUCCGGUUUGAAAAGCUUUCCGAUAUGCUGAAUGUCAUUACUUCAAAUCCAAGGACUUUAGGAUAUGGGGAAUUUUGCAUUUCGAGAGUCGAGGCCACAUUCGAGGAAGGGGGUGAUAUACCCUUACGAAACUAUGAAGCGUUUUUAGGAAAAAGUGCAAUCUUAACACAACCAGACUAUCACGAGGGCCAUGCGAUAUUCGGUGCGAGAGCAGACAAACAAACCCUAGCAAAUCUGAUAACAGCUCUUUGCUUGAGUGCGAUCAAUAACUCCGCGGAAUGGUGUAAAUACGAUUUGGUAGAUAUCAUACGAAUUGGCGAUAGGAUGUAUGCGAAAAUUAUAGAAGACUUCAGUGAAUGUGAAGCAAAAGAUCAUGAAAUCGGUUGGGACGACCUACAACCUCAAAUAGGAAUAAGUGCUUUCACUUUCAACAGGGAAGAACACACAGGAAUUCUGUCAAAACCUGUUGAACAAUCUACCGAGCCACAACCAGAGCCAACUGUAAGUAUUGAACAACCAAUGGAAGAUCAAGAAAAAGGAUCAAAAAGUAUAAGCAUCUCGAAUGCUAACGAUGCAGAACCCAACGCCGAAGAAAAUGCACAAGAAGUGAGUGAAGAGCUAGCUCCCGAACCUGAUACUAUAACAACUCUUCUCCAAAAUCUUGAUAUUAACCCCACAUACGCUGCUAUAUUACAAACCGACUUUGUUGAUAUCGCUCUUUGGAAACAAGAUGGCCUUUAUUUUGUUUUCGACCCGAAAGCUAAUGACGAAAAGGGCUACCCUAGCGUUAGACGAAUUCAAAAGGCGGUGCAAGUCGUACAAGCUCGCCUAAAGGCGGAAGAAGAGGAAAGGAAUCAGAUGCGAGAGAGAGAUGUUUCAGCAAACAAACUUGAACCCGAAGAAGGAGAAGAUCACCCAAUGUUCGACGACCCGUACUUUUCCCUAGACGAGAUAAAGGCAAAAACUGACGAAGUCCACCAACAUUUAUCUGUAGUAAGAGAUAGUCAGUUAGCCCUUGAGAAAGGCGAGGCCGCAAAAGAAACGGUACGCGACAUUAUGUCACUACCAAAUGAUGGUGCCGCUUAUGUAGCAUGGUUUCAAACUCUCGAAGGCCUCAUUGACCAUCUUCUAUCUAAAACUCCUCCGGAAUAUCAGAAUCAACCUAUAACCUUACAUGUUAUUCAAAUUGAUAAAGCUGUGAUUCAAUCUCCUCAAAAGACCGUUAAGUAUUUUGAAGAAAGGAAUCCAGAAGGGUUCUGGACACUUCGAGGAUUCAUUUCACAAGAGGAUCCCAUACUUCCAAACAGAACAAACCUGGAUGGAGCCUGCUCAAUAAUUGCUCUAGGUUUCACGUUGAUCAACCCCGCGGAUGAAUGGUCCCGGCCUAUUCUGGACGUUAUAUUGAAGUUCGGUGACCGACUCUACACCAAAAGUUUAAUGCUGGUGUCUUCCUAUGACAACAAAGUAAAAUUAAAAAUUGGUCAACUCGCGAAGUCUUUUAGCAUUUACAAGCAUAAAUUUGAUUACGAAUUGAAAUUUUCUAACGACAAAUUUCCCCUGAAUAACCCAGAAAACUUUAAUGAAAUUAACUCUUCAUUCAAAGAGGCAGUGAAUAGGCUCGGAACGAGUGAAAAAAACAUUGGUGUUAUUGCCAACCUUAAUGGAAACUACUGCGUAGCUAUUUGGCGAGCUGGACCCAUCACAUAUGUUUACGACUCUCACCAAAAUGAUCCCAAUGGUGUGUACAAGACCAUUGGCUCUUCGACCCUCGAAAGGUUCGCCAAUUUAAAUAUUCUGUUCAACGUUCUGAGAAGGAAGUUCGAUAAUAUCAAGGAGGCGAUAAUGUGUGAACUAAUUGAGGUCGACAUGGAAACCACAAAAUCCAAAGCGAUCAGCCCACCGGACUAUACACUAGUCAAUUUCCGGGUACCAGAACCGCAAUCAGCUUUUAUCACAGGCGAAGACGUCGACACAAGCACUAAAAUAUUAAAGGUUGGGCAAGCCAAGCCAGAAGUAUCUGAGGUUUUGUUGAAUUUCGCGGCGGUGGUGCUGAGCCAUCUUUUACAUACAGAGUGCUGGACACCUACCAUAAUGAACAAAGUAUUCUGCCUAGCAAACAACUUGCAAGUGAAUUCGACAGAUAUCAAACUCGACGUCACAAUCGACAAAGUUGAAAUGGACCUCAAAGGAUUAAUAAGAUGCUUUACUAUUGACAACACAAUGUGCACCCUCAACAUAGAUGAAAUCAUCCGCGGUCCGAUUACUGGGAAAAACCCUACAGAUGUAUCUCUCGAAAACAGUCUUAACCUGCUUAUGCGCAACUACUGCCGAGCUAUAGUGAUAACCGCGUCGUAUAUUUGUGCAAUAUGGCGAGAAGAGGACACCUACUAUUUAUUCACAGCAUUCGAGGAGGACCGGCCAUUUGUAAUGAGUUGCAAAACUCAAGACAAAUUGCUGGAGUGGAUGAUUAAAAAUCGGCCAAAAGACAAGGAGUCGGAUUGGUACCAGAUUGUUCGUGUUGAAAUUGCAUCAAUUCAAUUGAAGGAUUUACCAAAAGCGUCCAAGCGCCAAAUGUUGCUGAAGCCGAAGAAGUUUGAUACAUCAGAAACGCCUAAACGUGACAAGAGGAAAAUUAAGAAAGUCGCGUGUACAAAGAAGGAGGCACAAUUCGUCGAGAAUGUUUUUAGUGAGAAGCAGGAUAUCAGGGACGUCUCUAAGUCUAAUUGUCACCUUGGUGCUGACGCUGCAAUUGCAUUUCGCUGGGAAAAUAAUUUAACGUUUUCGUGAAGAGAAUUCCAAUGGAUCAUGUUUCGAUAGACACAUGGAUGAAUUUGAUGACACAGGUGUCUACGGUGGGCUUCGAUGUUCUUGUCGUAAUCCUGGAUCGGCACAAUUUUUUGCAUUCAUCUCGCUCAGCUGCAUGCUCACCGCUGGAACAUUGACGGACGGCUUCGAUGCGUGAUAAGGCCGCCUGUAUAGUAGCAGCAGCGAUGUGCUAUCUGAACGACAUAUCCAAGUGGAAGAAAGAAGAUUUCGAGACAAUUAGCAGA